Chroicocephalus ridibundus (black-headed gull) is the source of this 3272-nucleotide RNA transcript. It is a transcript of the gene named endothelin converting enzyme 1, with no coding region annotated. NCBI's taxonomy places the organism in Eukaryota, Metazoa, Chordata, Aves, Charadriiformes, Laridae. The transcript is spliced from 19 exons. The record is from RefSeq and is a predicted model, not a curated record.
CGAGCUGCGCCGGGGCUCAGCGGAGCCCGCCCCGGGGGUGGGGGGUGGGGGGGGGCCGAGGCCGGCGGGAGCGGGGGGGCAGCCAUGAUGUCGACCUACAAGCGGGCGACGCUGGACGACGAAGACCCCCUGGACUCCAUCAGUGAAAGCGAUGGGUACCCCAACGGCUUCCAGGUGAACUUCCGCGGCUCGAGGAGCAGCCCGGGGUGCUGGGCUGAGCGGACGCGCUCCGAGAAGCAGCUGCUGGUGGUGGUGGGGGUGCUGGGGACCGUGCUGGCCGCGUGUCUACUGGGUCUCAUCUUCCAGUACAGAGCCCGGUCACCCGCCGUGUGCCUGUCGGAAGCCUGCAUCUCCGUCACCAGCUCCAUCCUCAGCUCGCUGGACCGGGCGGUGAAUCCCUGCGAGGACUUUUUCAGCUACGCCUGCGGGGGCUGGAUCAAGGCCAACCCCCUCCCCGAUGGCCACUCGCGCUGGGGCACCUUCAACAACCUCUGGGAGCACAACCAGGCCAUCAUGAAGCAUCUGCUGGAAAACACCACAGCCAACGUGUCGAGCGAGGCGGAGCGCAAGGCGCAGCGUUACUACCAAGCCUGCAUGAACGAGAGCAAGAUCGAGGAGCUGCGCGCUGCCCCGCUCAUGGACCUCAUCCAAAAGCUGGGCGGCUGGAACAUCACGGGUCCCUGCGCAGGGGACAAUUUCAACGCGACGCUGCGGGAUGUGACAGCGCAUUACCGCACCUCGCCUUUCUUCUCCGUCUACGUCAGCGCCGACUCCAAAAACUCCAACAGCAACGUCAUCCAGGUGGAUCAGUCGGGGCUAGGCCUGCCGUCGCGGGAUUACUACCUGAACAAGACGGAGAACGAGAAGGUGCUCGCCGGGUACCUGAACUACAUGGUGCAGCUGGGGAUGUACCUGGGCGGCACCGACGAGGAGUCGACGCGGCAGCAGAUGCAGCAGAUCUUGGAUUUUGAGACGGCGUUGGCCAACAUCACCAUCCCGCAGGAGAAACACCGGGACGAGGAGGUCAUCUACCAUAAAAUGACAGCCGGAGACCUAAAGGAGCUGGCGCCAGCCGUGGACUGGAUGCCCUUCCUCUCCACCGUCUUCUACCCCGUGGAGCUCAACGAGUCGGAGCCCGUCGUGGUCUACGCCAAGGAGUACCUGGAGCAGGUCUCCGACCUCAUCCUGGCCACCGAUAAAUGUCUCCUCAACAACUACAUGAUCUGGAACCUGGUGCGGAAAACCAGCCCCUUCCUUGACCAGCGCUUCCAGGAUGCUGAGGAAAAAUUCAUGGAAGUGAUGUACGGGACGAAGAAGACCUGCCUCCCGCGCUGGAAAUUUUGCAUCAGCGACACGGACAACAACCUGGGCUUCGCCCUGGGGGCCAUGUUCGUCAAGGCCACCUUCGCCGAGGACAGCAAGCAGGUGGCAGAGGAAAUGAUCGCGGAGAUUAAAACAGCCUUCGAGGAAAGCCUGGAGACCUUGCAAUGGAUGGACGAAGAGACGAGGAAAUCAGCCAAAGAGAAGGCAGAUGCCAUCUACAACAUGAUCGGCUACCCCAAGUUCAUCAUGGACCCCAAGGAGCUGGAUAAAGUUUUUAAUGAUUACGAGGCUGUGUCUGACCUCUACUUCGAGAACGUCAUGCAGUUCUACAACUUCUCAGCCAGGGUCACCGCCGACCAGCUUCGCAAACCACCCAACCGGGACCAGUGGAGCAUGACGCCUCCGACCGUCAACGCAUACUACUCUCCCACCAAGAACGAGAUCGUCUUCCCUGCCGGCAUCCUCCAGGCCCCUUUUUACACCCGGGCGUCUCCCAAGUCACUGAAUUUUGGUGGGAUUGGCGUGGUGGUGGGUCAUGAGUUGACGCAUGCCUUCGAUGACCAAGGGCGGGAAUAUGACAAGGACGGCAACCUGCGUCCCUGGUGGAAGAACUCCUCGGUGGAGGCCUUCAAGCGGCAGACAGCAUGCAUGGUGGAGCAGUACGGCAACUACACCAUCAACGGCGAGGCCGUCAACGGCAAGCACACCCUCGGGGAGAACAUCGCUGACAACGGUGGCCUCAAAGCUGCCUACCGGGCAUAUCAAAACUGGCUGAAAAAGAAUGGGGAAGAGGAAACCCUCCCAACUCUCGGCCUCACCAACCACCAGCUCUUCUUCGUUGGCUUCGCCCAGGUGUGGUGUUCGGUUCGCACACCGGAGAGCUCGCACGAGGGGCUCAUCACCGACCCCCACAGCCCCUCGCGUUUCCGCGUCAUCGGCACAGUCUCCAACUCCCGGGAGUUCGCGGAGCAUUUCGGCUGCCCCCUCGGCUCCCCCAUGAACCCCCCCAAGAAAUGCGAAGUCUGGUGAUGGGCGAGCACUGGAGGGAACCGGCUGCCGGUUGCUUCGUCCUUGCCGACAGCUGGAUUUCCCCGGUCCUUUUGAGAGGCUCAAACCACUUCUCCGUGCAACAAACUGCCCAGCUCUCAGCCGGAGCGGCGCCCCGCGUCCCCGGUGUCGUCCGAGUGCAGCUGUAGGUGCAGCACCCUGUGGUGACAGUCCCUCGGCCGGGGAAGCUGGAUGGGGCUGCCUGGGCUGCGGAUGCGAGUAGCCAGCCCCGGAUCCCAGGUUUCUCCAGGAGGGACUGUCCUCAGAGGAUGCUGAUGGGGAAAUUGGGAACAGCGGGCCUGGGGACAGGGCUGGAAGGAUGCUGUGGGUCGCAGAAAGGCUCUGCCGGGAUGCUGCAGCUCCUGGGAUUAGCUUUAAUCCCGGAGCACGAAGGGACAAAUUGACAUGCCAAAGAUGUCACGGAGGCGGUGACGCUGUGGAUGGAGCACCCGGUUUUCCCUCCUGUCGCCUCUGAAGAGAGGUCAGCCGCUUUUUCCCGGCCCAAAGGCUUCCCUGGACAAGCGCAGGCAGUUCCUACCACUGCUUCACUCGCCGCCGUACGGCCCGGGAAACUGCAAGCCCCGAAACCACCGCACGGCCCCAAACCUCCAUCCUUCCGUGUCCGGUUCGGCACCGCUGUAAGAUCUGGCCAGGAUAGGGGCGACGGGCUUUUUUUAAGGGUUUUUUUUAAUGCUCCUUUUGCGGUUUUGAGAAGAAACCACUGACAGUAGCUCAGGUGCUGCAUGUUGUCUCGCGGGGCACCUUCUUGCUCUAGACAGAAAGCAAAGACGUAGAGGGAUUUUUAAUAUUUAUAUGUAAAAGAAGGGAUGGGGCGGGAUUUUUUUUGUAACUAUUUUUUCACCCUACGUGGGCUUAUCGUAAUUGAAAUAAAUACUUUUUAC